CCAAUAGCGUAUAUUAAAGUUGUUGCAGUUAAAAAGCUCGUAGUUGAAUUUCGGGAUUGACCCAUCGGUCGUGCCUUAAGGGGUAUGAACUGGUGUAGUCAAUUUCUCACCUUCUGGAGAACCGCGAUGUCCUUAAUUGGGUGCCGCGAGGAACCAGGACCUUUACUUUGAAAAAAUUAGAGUGUUUAAAGCAGGCAUUUUUGCUUGAAUACAUUAGCAUGGAAUAAUAAAAUAGGACGGCAUGAUUCUAUUUUGUUGGUCUCUAGGAUCACCGUAAUGAUUAAUAGGGAUAGUUGGGGGCAUUAGUAUUCAAUUGUCAGAGGUGAAAUUCUUGGAUUUAUUGAAGACUAACUACUGCGAAAGCAUUUGCCAAGGAUGUUUUCAUUAAUCAAGAACGAAAGUUAGGGGAUCGAAGACGAUCAGAUACCGUCGUAGCCUUAACCAUAAACUAUGCCGACUAGGAAUCAGACGAUGUUAAUUUUUUAAUGACUCGUUUGGCACCUUACG
RNAcentral lists this ribosomal RNA (507 nucleotides) under uncultured Glomeromycotina. RNAcentral's name for it is "partial small subunit ribosomal RNA". It matches the Rfam family "Eukaryotic small subunit ribosomal RNA", at positions 591 to 1092 of the family's 1831-position model. The record is from RNAcentral. Lineage: Eukaryota; Fungi; Glomeromycota.